Molecule: ribosomal RNA, 490 nt
Filed under: uncultured bacterium
Lineage: Bacteria
Description: partial 16S ribosomal RNA
Rfam family: Bacterial small subunit ribosomal RNA
Source: RNAcentral
AUUGAACGCUGGCGGCAAGCCUAACACAUGCAAGUCGAACGGUAGCAGGAAGAAGCUUGCUUCUUCGCUGACGAGUGGCGGACGGGUGAGUAAUGUCUGGGAAACUGCCUGAUGGAGGGGGAUAACUACUGGAAACGGUAGCUAAUACCGCAUAACGUCGCAAGACCAAAGAGGGGGACCUUCGGGCCUCUUGCCAUCGGAUGUGCCCAGAUGGGAUUAGCUUGUUGGUGGGGUAACGGCUCACCAAGGCGACGAUCCCUAGCUGGUCUGAGAGGAUGACCAGCCACACUGGAACUGAGACACGGUCCAGACUCCUACGGGAGGCAGCAGUGGGGAAUAUUGCACAAUGGGCGCAAGCCUGAUGCAGCCAUGCCGCGUGUAUGAAGAAGGCCUUCGGGUUGUAAAGUACUUUCAGCGGGGAGGAAGGGAGUAAAGUUAAUACCUUUGCUCAUUGACGUUACCCGCAGAAGAAGCACCGGCUAACUCCGUG